UACGUAGGGUGCAAGCGUUGUCCGGAAUUAUUGGGCGUAAAGAGCUCGUAGGCGGUUUGUCGCGUCUGCUGUGAAAACGCGAGGCUCAACCUCGCGCCUGCAGUGGGUACGGGCAGACUAGAGUGCGGUAGGGGAGAUUGGAAUUCCUGGUGUAGCGGUGAAAUGCGCAGAUAUCAGGAGGAACACCGGUGGCGAAGGCGGGUCUCUGGGCCGGAACUGACGCUGAGGAGCGAAAGCGUGGGGAGCGAACAGG
RNAcentral lists this ribosomal RNA (253 nucleotides) under uncultured bacterium. Its description in RNAcentral is "partial 16S ribosomal RNA". It matches the Rfam family "Bacterial small subunit ribosomal RNA", at positions 524 to 776 of the family's 1533-position model. The record is from RNAcentral.